CCUACGGGAGGCUGCAGUGGGGAAUAUUGCACAAUGGGGGAAACCCUGAUGCAGCGACGCCGCGUGAGUGAAGAAGUAUCUCGGUACGUAAAGCUCUAUCAGCAGGGAAGAAAAUGACGGUACCUGACUAAGAAGCCCCGGCUAACUACGUGCCAGAAGCCGCGGUAAUACGUAGGGGGCAAGCGUUAUCCGGAUUUACUGGGUGUAAAGGGAGCGUAGACGGCAGCACAAGUCUGGAGUGAAAUCCCGGGGCUUAACCCCGGAACUGCUUUGGAAACUGGGCGGCUGGUGUGCAGGAGGGGUAAGCGGAAUUCCUAGUGUAGCGGUGAAAUGCGUAGAUAUUAGGAGGAACACCGGUGGCGAAGGCGGCUUACUGGACUGUAACUGACGUUGAGGCUCGAAAGCGUGGGGAGCAAACAGGAUUAGAUACCCUUGUAGUC
This 440-nucleotide ribosomal RNA is filed under the name uncultured bacterium. Its description in RNAcentral is "partial 16S ribosomal RNA". It matches the Rfam family "Bacterial small subunit ribosomal RNA", at positions 338 to 795 of the family's 1533-position model. The record is from RNAcentral.